This 1044-nucleotide long non-coding RNA is filed under the name Pogona vitticeps (central bearded dragon). RNAcentral's name for it is "lncRNA (ENSPVIG00000019543.1)". Lineage: Eukaryota; Metazoa; Chordata; Lepidosauria; Squamata; Agamidae. The record is from RNAcentral.
AUGUCUUUCCCCCCCCCCUUCUCCCUGGCUACAAAAUUCAGACAAUACCUUUCUAACCUUUUCUGCAGCUGCAGAAGUAGCAAAAGCAAUAUGAAAAACCUAACAAGUAUUUGCAAGCAACGGAUUCUCUUCUCCGGACGACAGAAAAGAGGAAGGAAGGGGGAGAGGGGGGGGGAGGAGAGCGCAAAGAAUAAAGCCAUUCUUCCCUUCUCCCGUCUGACUGGCAAGAAAAGGGCGUGGCCAGCGGCUCAGCACCAACAGCCCCAUAGACUGCGGAUUUUCUCUUUUUUCCUCCAGCACCAAAAGACUGGAUCCGGCCCCGAGCAGACAGUAACCUCUCGGCUGCCGCACUGCGUGCAGGCGCGCGCACACACAUACAAAGACAUUCAGGUGGGAGAGAUAACCUGCAAAAGGUGCAGGAUUUUUAGACAUCAUCCUGCAACACCGCAAUUGGAGUGCAUCCGUGCAAAAAAGCAGGGAUCCCCGUCCGACCCCACCCCCGCGCCCUCCUUUCUGGUCGAUGCAGCCCUCCGCCGCAGCGGUGCAAAUAGGGGACCAACGUACAUCCACAUCACUCCUCCGUCCUGCCUUCCAGCUCACGGCGAGCCCCGAAGGCGCUCAGUGGCUUCUUUCAUUGCGCCACUUUACAUCUCACCGCUUCGCUCGCUUCCCAUUGCACGGCCGCCCAGCCUCAUUUGCAUACCACGCGAGCUCACGGCCAAUGGGGUGCCGAAGAGCCGGCCCCCUUCGAUCGAUGGAGGACAGGGCGUGGUGGUGGUGGGGCGCGCAUGCGCGGCAGGACUCUGCUUUGAUUGCUGUAGGGAGGCGUCGCUUUUCUCGUCCUCCCUCCUUUUCUGCUGCCUGAGGACUGGGCUGGGUUUUAGGAAGCAAAGGGAAGAAAAGGCGACGCGCCGGGGAUCGCGGUUUCUCUCCCGUUCCAGUCAUUCUUUUUUUCCCCCUGCCCCCCCUUGGAAGGAACUGGACAAAGCUUUUUUGUUUUUGUUUUUUUACUUCUUGCAAAGCAAAUCUUGCAGCUGUUUUUAG